Molecule: ribosomal RNA, 1152 nt
Filed under: Triticum aestivum (bread wheat)
Lineage: Eukaryota; Viridiplantae; Streptophyta; Magnoliopsida; Poales; Poaceae
Description: partial small subunit ribosomal RNA
Source: RNAcentral
AUGGGGAGUCGCAGGUUCUCCUCCGGCGUGUCCACUGUCAUCCUCGCCAUCUCCGUCGUGGCGCUUCUCAACACCGACGUGGCGCUGUGCGGCUGCAGCUACAAGCGUAUCUUCGCGUUCGGUGACUCCCUCAUCGACACCGGCAACUUGUUAUACUCCGUCGGCAACAGGGCGUCGCCAAUCAAGGAGCUCCCCUACGGCAUGACCUUCUUCAAGCACCCCACCGGCCGCAUCACCGACGGCCGUGUCGUCGUCGACUUCUACACGGAGGCGUUCGGUCUGCCGCUGCUGCCGCCGAGCAUCCCGGAGGAGGCGACCGGGCAGUUCCCCACCGGCGCCAACUUCGCCGUGGGGGGCGCCAUCGCACUUCCACUGGAGUACUACAAGACCAAAUACAACUUCACGAUGAACGCGCCUUCCAACCUCGACCGGCAGCUCGCGUCCUUCAAGAAGAUCCUUGCGCGCAUCGCUCCCGGGAACGUAGAUCUGUAUAUCAUUUCUCGUCUUGACACAGGCGCCACGAGGUCUCUCCUCAACGAGUCCCUGGUGCUGAUGGGCGAGAUCGGCGGGAACGACUACAACUUCUGGUUCAGUGACCGCCGGAGACCCCGUGAAACGCCGGAGAAGUACCUGCCCGACGUGGUCGCCCGCAUCGGCGCCGCCGUGCAGGAGGUGAUCAACCUCGGCGCCAGGACGAUCGUCGUCCCUGGCAACUUCCCCAUCGGGUGCUUGCCGGCGUACCUGGGCGCCCACCAGAGCAACGUCAAGGCUGACUACGACGAGCUCCACUGCCUCAAGUGGUAUAACGAAUUCUCCCAGAAGCACAACCAGGUGCUGCGGCAGGAGAUCGCGCGGCUCUGGUCGCAGAACCCUGGCGUCAAGGUCGUCUACGCUGACUACUACGGCGCCGCCAUGCAGUUCGUCCAAAAGCCGCAGGCGUACGGCAUCGCCGACCCGCUCGUGGCGUGCUGCAACGGCAAUGGGCCGUACCACACCGGCGGGGCGUGCAACAACCAGACGAAACUCUGGGGCAGCCCCGACCGCUUCGCCAGCUGGGACGGCCUGCACAUGACGGAGAAGGCGUACAAGAUUGUCUCCGACGGGGUGCUGGACGGGCCAUUCGCCGACACACCGCUGCGCCAUACUUGCUAG